UACGUAGGGUCCAAGCGUUAUCCGGAAUUACUGGGCGUAAAGAGUUGCGUAGGUGGCAUAGUAAGCAAGUAGUGAAAGCGUUCGGCUCAACCGAAUAUACAUUAUUUGAACUGCUAAGCUAGAGGAUGAGAGAGGUUAUUGGAAUUGCUAGUGUAGGAGUGAAAUCCGUAGAUAUUAGCAGGAACACCAGUGGCGAAGGCGGCUAUCUGGCCCAAUACUGACACUGAGGUGCGAAAGCGUGGGGAUCAAACAGG
RNAcentral lists this ribosomal RNA (254 nucleotides) under uncultured bacterium. RNAcentral describes it as "partial 16S ribosomal RNA". It matches the Rfam family "Bacterial small subunit ribosomal RNA", at positions 524 to 776 of the family's 1533-position model. The record is from RNAcentral.